RNAcentral lists this ribosomal RNA (421 nucleotides) under uncultured bacterium. RNAcentral describes it as "partial 16S ribosomal RNA". It matches the Rfam family "Bacterial small subunit ribosomal RNA", at positions 360 to 773 of the family's 1533-position model. The record is from RNAcentral.
AAUACUGGACAAUGGGGGCAACCCUGAUCUAGCCAUGCCGUGUGUGUGAAGAAGGUCUUCGGAUUGUAAACCACUUUAAGUUGGGAGGAAGGGCUUAAGGUUAUUAGCCUGAAGCCUUGACGUUACCAACAGACUAAGCACCGUCUAACUCUGUGCCAGCAGCCGCGGUAAUACAGAGGGUGCAAGAGUUAAGAGGAAUUACUGGGCGUAAAGAGCGCGUAGGUGGUUCAGUAAGAUGGGUGUGAAAUCCCCGGGCUUAACCUGAGAACUGCUUUCAUAACUGCUGAGCUAGAGUACAGUAGGGGGUAGUGGAAUUUCCUGUGUAGCGGUGAAAUGCGUAGAUAUAGGAAGGAACACCAGUGGCGAAGGCGACUACCUGGACUGAUACUGACACUGAGGUGCGAAAGCGUGGGGAGCAAAC